CAAUAGCGUAUAUUAAAGUUGUUGCGGUUAAAAAGCUCGUAGUUGGAUUUCGGCGGACAGGGGGCGGUUCGAUAUUUGUCGCUACUGCCCCAUUUGUCCGUGUUUUUGGCGGAGGUUUCAGGGUGCUCUUCACCGAGUGUCCGGGGAUGCCGUCAGGUUUACUUUGAAAAAAUUAGAGUGCUCAAAGCAGGCUUUACACGCUUGAAUAUUCGUGCAUGGAAUAAUGGAAUAGGACGUCGUUUCUAUUUUGUUGGUUUUCGGAAAUCGACGUAAUGAUUAACAGGGACAGUCGGGGGCAUUAGUAUUCAGACGACAGAGGUGAAAUUCUUGGACCGUCUGAAGACUAACUACUGCGAAAGCAUUUGCCAAGAAUGUUUUCAUUAA
Molecule: ribosomal RNA, 384 nt
Filed under: uncultured eukaryote
Lineage: Eukaryota
Description: partial 18S ribosomal RNA
Rfam family: Eukaryotic small subunit ribosomal RNA
Source: RNAcentral